RNAcentral lists this long non-coding RNA (159 nucleotides) under Ictidomys tridecemlineatus (thirteen-lined ground squirrel). RNAcentral describes it as "lncRNA (ENSSTOG00000032055.1)". The record is from RNAcentral. Lineage: Eukaryota; Metazoa; Chordata; Mammalia; Rodentia; Sciuridae.
GAGUUGGAGAUGUUUGGCUGGAUGUGUAUAAGUUGCCCAAGGAGUCUUGGCUCAAGGAAGUGGAGCAUCCUCAAGUCACUUCAAAUGCAAAGAAAAAAGCCAGACAGACGCAACUGAACUCUGUCGAUCCCACUCCUAUAGAUAACUUAGAAAUGGUAA